UAUAGUGAUGAAUCCAAUGAUGUAUUUCGGCAGCUGUAACUAUAAAUUUCAGAAUCACAGUGUGUAUCCGAGGUAGGAAAGCUCAUAUUAUUGGCUCUUUGGCAUCAAUUUGAUCCAUUUACAAAGCUAUUGCUGAUAACUUGCAUUUUGCUCUCGUUGGACUCCAUUUUUUGACCAAACGUUUGCUCUGGGUGGUUUUCUGGUUGGGUUGAGAGAGACGGAAGAAGAAGACUUCCCAGAUUGGUUAAUAUGUUUGCUGUGCAUGUUUGAUUAUAGUUAGUUAAUAUGUUUCUGCAAUAUUGUUUAGCAUAUAUUAUCUCUUUUCUUUGCUUUUGGACUGAUGUAACCAUGGUAGGCUUAUGUAACAUUUUAAUUGAUGACAUUCUCCAGAUGGACCAGAUCUGAUAUGAUCACUUUAUAAUCAUAGCAUCACUAUAGUUAAAGCUACUGCAUAGCAAGCAAUAAUACUUGCUCCACCAUAAUUUGCAGAAUGGUAAAAAUAUUGGUCCCUAGUUCAUCAUUCUUCGAGAUAUUGCAAAUAUUGGCUAAUAAAGUCUGGUCUUUAAUUUGGCUUUCAACUCAGAAACCAACCAGGAGCUGAUAAUGAAUCAAGGGGGACUAAGUUUGUUAUCUAUGAGAGGAGAUCAGGAUGGUACUAAAAAUGGCCAGAACGGUAACUAACCUAGGCGAUCUCCAUUUUCCACAUCCUCAUUGGCUUUCCCUUCAACUCUUCAAGUAGCCUUGUCUCUGGGAAUCAAUAUGGACCAGGGCACUGGCGGAUGCAGGAAAUUCUGAGUACAAUAGAGCAUGGUGGAAGAUUGACAUAAUUGCAGGAAUCUUCGACUCCACAAGAAUG
This 856-nucleotide long non-coding RNA is filed under the name Rosa chinensis. RNAcentral describes it as "sRNA RchiOBHm_Chr5g0058641". Lineage: Eukaryota; Viridiplantae; Streptophyta; Magnoliopsida; Rosales; Rosaceae. The record is from RNAcentral.